CCUACGGGAGGCAGCAGUGGGGGAUAUUGGACAAUGGGGGGAACCCUGAUCCAGCGACGCCGCGUGAGUGAAGAAGUAUUUCGGUAUGUAAAGCUCUGUCAGCAGGGAAGAAAGCAAUGACGGUACCUGACCAAGAAGCCCCGGCUAACUACGUGCCAGCAGCCGCGGUAAUACGUAGGGGGCAAGCGUUAUCAGGAAUUACUGGGUGUAAAGGGAGCGUAGACGGCUGUGCAAGUCUGUAGUGAAAGGCGGGGGCCCAACCCCCGGACUGCACUGGAUACUGGAUGGCUGGAGUGCAGGGGAGGUAAGCGGAAUUCGUGGUGUAGCGGUGAAAUGCGUAGAUAUUAGGAGGAACACCAGUGGCGAAGGCGGCUUACUGGACUGUAACUGACGUUGAGGCUCGAAAGCGUGGGGAGCAAACAGGAUUAGAUACCCCAGUAGUC
Molecule: ribosomal RNA, 443 nt
Filed under: uncultured bacterium
Lineage: Bacteria
Description: partial 16S ribosomal RNA
Rfam family: Bacterial small subunit ribosomal RNA
Source: RNAcentral